This is a long non-coding RNA of Daktulosphaira vitifoliae (grape phylloxera), 5839 nucleotides long. RefSeq lists it as uncharacterized. The record is from RefSeq and is a predicted model, not a curated record. Lineage: Eukaryota; Metazoa; Arthropoda; Insecta; Hemiptera; Phylloxeridae. The transcript has 3 exons.
CCCCCCCCCGUAAAGGGUUUUCGUUGAUUUUUCGUCGUCCCUUAAAUUCCCGUUUGUCUUAAUAUUAUUACUACUGUGGUGCCGUUGUUGUUGUUGUUGUUGUUGUCGUCACUGCACUUGUAUUUGGUUCCUACGAAAUGUUCGAGUCAAGUCCGCGAGACGUGUGCAGUGUACCUUUGGGGGGUUCUUUGAAAACCGGUUCGUACCAAACGAUUCGUGUGUGUGUAACUUUUUGUAUUGUGUUUUCUUUUUUAUUUCUCGUUCGUGAUUUAUGUGACGGACGAAGAAGAAAAAAAGUAAUAAUAAAAUUACCCCGAAAAAAAGAGAACCCGACGUCAUGUACCGGUUGAUAAUAAUUUUUUUCAAAAAUAUUUUACGAUCACCCUGAAAAUUAUGUAAUAUCGGUACGACAUCCGAAUAAAUCAACCCGGCCGGCCGUCUCAAUAAUACAUUUUUUAACUCGGUCCGCACCCGCCCACGUUAAACAAUCGUAAUGACAAUAACAAUAACGACGGCAGCAGUUAGUCGUAACGGAAACAUUAGAACACUCAAAGGAAAAAAUAAUUAUUUAUAUACAAUAUUAUACUUGCAUAAUUAUCGUUGGCACAGACAUUGUGUCAGGGUAAAAAAUUACACUAUGAUAGAUUUGAUGAUCAACUUUUUAAUGGAAAUAUUUUCCGCUAAGUAUAUAUAUAUAUAUAUAUUUAUAAAAUUUUUUUUUUAUUUUGUAACGAAUUUAUAAAAUAAGUCACUAGGUGUUGUUUUUCUCAUUUUAAUUAUAAAUAAUUUCUAUUUUAUUUGAAAAACAUUUUUUUUUUUUGUUAUUUUUAAUGAUUUAUAUUAGUUUUACUGUGUCCUCGAGGAUUUCUGACAAAAUUCCACUAUGUUGUUGUUAUUCCUGUAUGUAUAUAUAUAUAUUAUAUAACGACGAUUAAUAAUAAUAAUUAAAAAAAAACACUCAAUUAGCCCUAAAUAAAUUUUUAAACGAAAUUAUUAUUAUUAUUAUUUGUUAUAUAACGAAAGAAGGAAAUAUGGGAAAAAAUAAUCUAUGCAUAUACAUAUAAAUACAUUGUAUACAUUUAGUUGAUAAAAAAUUGAAAUAAUUGUACAAUUUGUUGUAAAUACGAACCUAGAUGUGUAAAUAAAACUGUGUAGUUAGACGAAUACUAUAAUUCACAUUAUAUAUAUAAAUAUAUAGAUAAAAAUUUAAUGAUAAUAAAAGGUACACUUUUGAAACGUGUAAUUUUUGUUUGUUCGUAUACAUAUUAUGUUUUUAUUAAAAAAAAAAAUCAAUUGAGGAAUUAAGUCAAAAAAAAAAAAAUAAUCAUAAUAAUAAUACCUGUUGAUGUUUUUUUCUAUAUUUAUUAUUUAAAUUUAUAUGUGUUGUAUAAAAAUAUUUGGGGUAAAAACGAUUUGAAAUAAAAAUUUAAAAACAAAAACCAACCAAGAAUUUUUCAAUCAAUACACAUCUUUCUAUCUUAUCCUUAAUUGCAAACUAAAGCAAUAGCAAUGUACGAUCAAAGUAUAAUUUCACAGAGAGCUUAUCGUCCAGGUUUAUGAGUCGUCGAGAGUUAUUUUCCAGUAAUAACAUUUGGAAAUUGUUCUGUUAUUACAAUUUUUUUUUUUAUAAAUAAUACUUUUUCUAGACGAGUACAACAGCUAAACUAUGACGGACGACUGAUAUUGUUCGAUCGAUUUUAAAACGAGUGUAUAGCGUAAAAACUACGUUAAAAUAUGACAUAAAAAUGCCGUCGACACUUUGUUGGCGUGUCGUUGUGACAAUGGCAUUUGGACAAACUUACAGGAUAAUUUUUCGUCGGUCGGCCGAUUGAAAAGUUGAUCGACACGUUCCCCAAAACGAAUUUCGGUGAUGAAUUGAAUGUGUGAAUAUUGGAGAGACUGGUCGAUUGUCUAGCGAUCAAAACGAUUAACAUCUCCCGAAACCCUUUUCGACGUGCCCCAUUCCCAUUAACAUGUCACAGACCUCGAGGCUUCUGUUGAUCAUUGUGAGCGACUGAUACGAGUUCUGUCCGGCAAUCGAUAGAUUUCCGACCUGUUAACGCAGCACACAAUACACGAAACACUAUUGUAAUGCCCUUUUUUUUUUUUGUCUGGAUUAUGGACUCUCGGUUUCGGGUGGCCACUAUUUCAAAAACACCAUAUUUUGAUACCUUACAUUUAGUUAGGGCGGAAAUCUUAGGUCUCCGUAAUUCCAUUGACAGACAGGUCGUACAAAGCGCCGUCCGUCAUUCCGUGUAAAGUGUUCUCUUGUAACGGAGGUCAUCGUCGUCAUGAGCAUCGAUCAAUGGCGUUCUACACAGUUAUCAUCUCCACGACACCAUCGCCAUUAAUGUAAACAUGGUUGACAGUUGUCUGCUGCGUUGUGACGAGCAAUAACUAUCGGUUUUGGUGAUCCCAAAACGGUUAUUUUUAAGUGUGGAUAAGUAGAACUAGUUAUUUUGAAAUGACCUAUUUGUUAACAUUAAACGGACAUUAGUCUGUAAUGGUUCAAGUUAAUGAGUCGAGUCCCAUACGACAGUAAUUGUAUUUUAACCCUAUUGACGACUGCCGCCGGUAUUGCACUUGGAAAAUAAUUACUAGAGUUUGUAAAGCGCAGGUACAGAAAACCGGUAGUAGUAGUUGCCAUUACAGAAAACAACACAAUUACCAAUAUUGUUAUUGUCGUAACAACGGUCGGAUUUCAUCGGAAAAGGUCGUGUCAUCGAGACCAUUACGCCACAAUGCACAGGGUGACCAGACAGUAAAAAGCGGCGGGGUGCUGCCAGCGUGUGUUGUAUCGAUCAAUUGGUUUCGAUCGCGCGUUCCCGUUGUAAAGCAAUGGCGUAUUUGUUUUCCUAAGGGAAUCGCGGCACAGACACCCAAAACAGGAAUAUCGUCAAAUCGGUAGGAACGAGUCGACCGUAUCAGAGCAGCUGACGGUGGACAACUCGUGUUUGCUUUGCCACCACAAAAUACCGUCGAUAGAGAGAGAGAGAGAGAGACAUGUGUGUGUGUGUGUGUGUGUGUGUGUGUGUUUUUAUACGGGUUUUUAAUGGGCUAAUAAUACGGCCAGCGGUGCCGGUCACUCUGUCGGCCGGAAAGGAGGUGUAUAAAUCGUUAAAUUAAAAUUUAUAGCGCCGUGUCUUGAUGCGCGUCCGACAAUUGGCCCCCGAGAACGGUAGUUGUAAAUGUUACGUGCGGUUUUUCGCUUCCCCGAAACGGUCGCACAGCAGUGUCUACGCUGAGAACAGUGCGACGAUCGCUAUCUCUCUAGGCACCUGCCGCGUGUACACGUCAAAAAUUGUUGCCGCGCCGCAUGCGAACCCUCAAAACGCGCGAUAAUAACCGACACAUGUGCCCGUUUAAUUUAUCGUUUUACCGGAGAAAAAAAUAUAAUUAAAAAUCAACACCGAGAAACGCGAGCGCUGGAAAUGUGCAACGUUAUAUUUUUUUGAUCCCAAACCCGCCGCGCAAAUAACAGUAAUUAUUCGCGGCGUUUUUCUUUUCGACCUGAUCGUUUCUGGACACGCGUUCUCCCCCUCCCCCUCGCCAAGGACGUGCGAAUAGGACUUCUGAGGUAGGUGUACGUUUUUUAUUGUUGCUAACCGACCCGCGAGGUAAUGGCGAAUUGCGGGCAGAGUUCGCGUGCUGCCGUUCCGGUAAAUCGGCCGACUGGGACGGUCGGGGCGAAAGACUUGUUUUCGGUACGAGGGAGACUUAAAAAACGGCGGACGCGUACGGUUCACCCGGUAGGUCAUAAUCGCAACAGUAGUAACCACAGUAAUGACAUCGUGGCUCAUUGUUUUAAUGUAUUCCGCGACAAAUACUCGCACGCAUUACGUACACGGUGUUGUUCGUUUUUGUUCAUCGCCGCGGUGUACGGGUCGCCUGGUGUGAAGGUCACGGGAAUAAAUCGACCGACGGCGGUGGCGCAGGAACUCAAUAAUUAUUAUGCGUUACUAUUGCACAGCCAGAGGAGGAAACGCAUUACAGCCCAAAUAUUUUUAUAAUUAUGCGCAAACAAUGUAUAUUGUCUUGGCCGAUUACCAUAUUGACCUAAUUUUAUGUAUUAUUUCUUUUUCUAUCGCUAUUCAAUAUUUCAAUGUAAUGUUCUCUCUGACGCGUAAACGGACUCGACAAAUUUUUAAACACGGUAAUUAUUCGUUUUUUACCAUUGCGGCGUUAUCGCGGUGCCUGUGCACAUACACACACACACACACACACACACUGCUCAUAAUAGUACACGUACGCAAGCCACCAAUCGCAAUUAUACGUGUUAUUCUACAAACGGGACGACAUGGCCGUCAAACAAUGGCAAACGUCCAUUGUUUAAUAUCGUAAUUAACAAGUGCGCUGAAAUGGCACCGACCGGCGUAGGCAGCGGACGAGCGCGCGCGGGGGUGAAAAACUGAAGCGCACAAUACUCACCGAAAUCGUCGGAAUAAACGACACGGACUUUCCGGACACGUUGUCCGAUUGUAGGACCUGGAAAAUGUCGUGCCCCACCAGACCACAGUAGUUACCAGCGUACACGGACAUGAUCUGUUCGUGUCAGACGGUUUGGAGAUGGCACACGUCCAUUGUGUUUAAAAUCAUAAUUAACAAGUGUGCUGAAAUUAUGUAAUAUAUAUGAGCACUCGAUUUACAUGUGUUAUAUUGUGGCACCGCUGCGCGCGGUCGACCGACUGUCGGUUUGGUUUAUUUUGUGCGCAAAAACUGUCACAGACGUUUUCAUUUAGAGCGCAGUACAAAAACCGGAACGAAAAUUAACAAUACACCACCGCCGGGUGUACAUCAUUAGGAGGGUGUGAUGACAUUGGUGUUGUGCAAUCGCCCCCUAAUAGAAUCGUUUCAGGUAACAAUAACACGGCCACGAUAAUAUAUAGCGGCUCCGCUGUUUGUGUCAGAGUUUAAAGAGGGAGGAGAGGAAACGAAGGAGAUGAAAAACGAGAUCCAUACGUAUUCAAAUGCACUCAGAGGGGCAAAAAGAUACACAUCCCGGACUUGGCCGUUAAUUUUCAUAAUCUUUGUUAUUCCUAUUGAUCCGAUAUUUGUUCUGGAUGACGAAGAAAAAGAAGAAGACACAGGCGUCUAUUGUGUCCUUGUCGUUUGCAGAAUCCGUUUCCUUUGCGGAGUGUCCGUUGUAACUGUCGGGCUCGAAGACACAUUUUAAUAUGCGAAUUUGGCGCGAUCCGCAAGGGCCACGCGGUUCUCUUGCGGUACCCUCGACCGACUAGUUUCGAAACUUCGUUAAUUAGAAUACGAACGCAUUAUUCAUAACCGUACAUCUUCAACCUGUAUAUCUCUCCCCACAUUAUUAAAACGGAGUAUCGUGUAAAUAAUCGCCGGUGUUAUCUUUUAAAAAAUGUAAAUUUGUUUCUCUGCAAAACAAGUGUGUAUAUGUUUAUUAACGUAAACAGCUAGUGUAUGUAAAUUGAAUUCGCCAGACGCCACUAUCCCUAGCACUAAAAUGUCAUUAAUUUACUGCCAUAGGAGUACUGUAAAUUAACCGGGUGCGCUCGUACAAACCUAAACGCAUUUCAUUUAUAUAAUUAUACAAAUCGGUGACUUUCACAGGCUGACAAGUGCGUGUGUCUUUGAAUAAAAUAUGCAAUAAGGACUUUCAACAGGUAUCGUGAGACGAGUUAUCUGUUAGAUGCAUUAAAUAAACGAUCAAAACGUCUAGCGAUCAAAGUGGAUUAAGCAAUUUGAACAUAAUCAAUCAAGCUCUAAAAUGUAUUUUUUUAGUUACUUAUGUUAUAGUUAAAAAUGUAUUUUGUGUAAUAUUUUAUUAUUUUUAGGCCUUCAAAUAUACCACCAAUCUAAAUUAAACCACUUA